Molecule: transfer RNA, 73 nt
Filed under: Rattus norvegicus (Norway rat)
Lineage: Eukaryota; Metazoa; Chordata; Mammalia; Rodentia; Muridae
Rfam family: tRNA
About the family: Transfer RNA (tRNA) molecules are approximately 80 nucleotides in length. Their secondary structure includes four short double-helical elements and three loops (D, anti-codon, and T loops). Further hydrogen bonds mediate the characteristic L-shaped molecular structure. tRNAs have two regions of fundamental functional importance: the anti-codon, which is responsible for specific mRNA codon recognition, and the 3' end, to which the tRNAs corresponding amino acid is attached (by aminoacyl-tRNA synthetases). tRNAs cope with the degeneracy of the genetic code in two manners: having more than one tRNA (with a specific anti-codon) for a particular amino acid; and 'wobble' base-pairing, i.e. permitting non-standard base-pairing at the 3rd anti-codon position.
Source: Rfam by way of RNAcentral
GGGGGUGUGGCUCCAUUGGUAGAACGCCUGUCUAGCGCCCAUGAAGCCCUGGGUUCAGUUCCCAGCACCACUU